Molecule: small nuclear RNA, 159 nt
Filed under: Meriones unguiculatus (Mongolian gerbil)
Lineage: Eukaryota; Metazoa; Chordata; Mammalia; Rodentia; Muridae
Description: U1 spliceosomal RNA (ENSMUGG00000002441.1)
Source: RNAcentral
ACACUUCCAGGGCAGAGGAGAGAUCAGGAAAAGAAGGUGGCGUCUGCACGCCAAGGCUAACCCUUUCCGCUCCGGAUGUGCUGAUCCCUGUGAGGUUCCCAAAUACCGGAAACUCAACUGCAGAAUCAGUGCUGGUGGGGAACUGAAUUCAAGCCUUCU